Molecule: transfer RNA, 92 nt
Filed under: Desulforamulus ruminis DSM 2154
Lineage: Bacteria; Bacillati; Bacillota; Clostridia; Eubacteriales; Peptococcaceae
Description: Desulfotomaculum ruminis DSM 2154 Selenocysteine transfer RNA
Rfam family: Selenocysteine transfer RNA
Source: Rfam by way of RNAcentral
GGGGAGAACGGGGAUGGUCCCCCUAUGGGCUGCAAACCCAUGAGCCAGCCUGAGAACCAGGCUGGAGUCCGGUUCGAUUCCGACUUCUCCCC